Carassius carassius (crucian carp) is the source of this 1458-nucleotide RNA transcript. It is a transcript of the gene named aarF domain-containing protein kinase 1-like, with no coding region annotated. The transcript is spliced from 4 exons. The record is from RefSeq and is a predicted model, not a curated record. NCBI's taxonomy places the organism in Eukaryota, Metazoa, Chordata, Actinopteri, Cypriniformes, Cyprinidae.
UUCUUUUGAGCUUUCUAUUAAUCAAAGAAUCCUGGAAAAAAAAAGUUUAGAAACCUAAAACCUAAAAGAAAUGUUUAUUGAGCAGCCAUUUAGCAUAUUUGAAUGAUUUCUGAAGGAUGAUGUGACAAUGAAGAGUGGAGUGAUGCCUUUUACUUUUGAACAUUUGUUCAGACACCUCAAACACUAACAGAACACUUUGUGUCUCUGUCCAAGGUGCUGAACCAGGACUUCAGGUUGGACUACUGCAGACUGUGGCAGAGUUUGAUAAAGGGAGACUUGAAAGGCAUCGAGCGUUACAGCAGGCGUCUGGGCACAGGGGAUCCUAUCCUGUGUUCACUUGUGUCCUCACCGCCCGCUCCUGGACGUCAGUAAAUGUUGGUAUCAGCCAGACACCUGUCACUCAAACUGAGGAUGUGGAGAUCUGAAUGAAUGUGGUGCAGUACAUCCCUCAGAUCAGUGAGCUGCUGAACAGGAUUCCCCGACAGAUGCUGCUGCUUCUGAAAACCAACGACCUGCUGAGAGGCAUCGAGACUAUCCUGCAGACUAGAGCCAGCUCCAGCUCCUUCAUCAAUAUGUCCCGCUGCUGUACUCAUGCCAUCGCCAGAAACCAAGUCUCGGACCAGGCGACCGUAGAUCUCUCUGUUUGAGCGUUGGUCUCUCUGUAUGAACUUAUGGUGUGGCUCCGCAGCUUCACACUGGCCAGAUGGGUCUGUUACUUCCUCAACUUCCUGUCCUACUCAAACUAAAAGCCUUGAACCAGGGCAUUACACCCUCUGCACUGAACUCAGCACACUGCCAAGUGCAAUGUUAGCUUUUUUUAAGGUUGAGGGGCUACAGGGGCAUGCAUCACAGAAAACCCCUCACUUCCCCCAGCCUGAAGGCAACAGCCAGCAGUCAUGAAGUCCAAACCCCGCCAUACUAAUGCCCUCUAGAGAGCAGAUUGUAGCUGCCAAGCAUCGGAUGAUGGAAGCAGUUAUCUGCUCAACAAGUCUCUUCCACAUCACUCUCUGCUCAGCUGCACAGCUGAAACCAAAUUGCUGAAUCCCAGCUUCACCAUCAACCAUAAUGUGUAAUUUACUGUGUCCACAGUUAAUCCUGUCAGGCACGAAUUGCAGCUAUAGUGUGUUUCCAGGAACCGUUCAAAUUUGUAUUUAAUAAUUUCAGUGGAUGGGAUGCACUCGUAAGUGCACUAUUACAUUUUUCUGUCCCCUUGAUAUUAGCUCUUUACAAUUUCUGUUGUAAACUCUUUCUCACGUGUUGUUGUUGUUGUUUGUCAUGUCAGGAAAAUUUCCUUGGUUUGCAAUAGCUGAGCUUAUAGCCCAGAAAGAUGGAGGUAACACUUAAAAAAAAAGAAGAAGGAAAGAUUGAUUGAUUGAUUGAUCUGUGUUGUUCUUGAAUGAACCAAUUUAGUGUAUUUUUAUUAUAUUAGAAUGAUUUCUGAAGGAAGACUGGAGUAAU